UUGCUUCUGUUGAGGACAAACUAGAGAUCUUGGCAUCACGUAAUGUUAAACUGAAGGCAGACACACUCCUUGAUGAAGCAGUUAAACUUUCAUAUGACCUGAUUGUGUUGCCUGUAAGGGAACCUGUUACUUUCUUUGUAAUAAUUAAUCGGUUUAUAAUAUUUAGUUUGUGUAAAUUAUAAUCCAAUUGUCUACAGGGUGGAAUUGGUGGUGCCCAAGCUUUUGCAAACUCGGAAACCUUGGUGAAUUUGUUGAAAAAGCAAAGAGAAUCAAACAGAUAUUAUGGAGCAAUGAUGCUGCUGAAAAAGCUUCAAGUUUCUUGCUAUCCAUGCUCAUGAUUCAUAGUUGAAGCAUAAUAAUUGAGAUGUUACUUGUUUUUAAGCAGUUAUGGGGUGUCCACCUCUGCUUUACACCCUUACUAAUUAUGUCAUCCCUCCCUCUUUCCCAUCUUUUUGUAACCAAAUGAAGAAAAGAAAAUUUAUUUAUAACUCCUACUUCUUUAUUGGUAAUGCAUAAGUAGUCGGGGUGCAUGUGUUGUGCUUUUCUGCUGCUGAAUUUCAACAUACAAGACAAGUCUGAUGAUAUUUUUAAUCUUGAUGAUAUCAAAAACCCCUCUGUGAUACUUACUACUAUCCAUUUCUUGUUGGAUUCUCUUGUAAUUCAAAAUUCAGGUUAUCCGAUCUAAUCAUGGUGAUGAAUAUACUUUUUUGGAGCUAAACCCAGUGCAAUGGACAUUUGACAGUCCACCCAAGGUAGGAUUUGGGCCUGAACAUUGUUCUCAGUGAAGUUUCUUUAUAUUGACAACAAUAUUUGAGAAAGGAUGCAGCACUAUAUUUAUUAAAUUUCUUUAAUAGACAUGUUUCUAUGAAAGAAUAAAUUUGUUGUUUCUAGAUUAUCGACCUUGAUAUGUAUUGGUAUUUUCACUUGCUCUCUUUUCAGAUUCUUGUACCAAUUGCUAAUGGCACAGAAGAAAUGGAAGCUUUGAUUAUAAUCGAUAUUCUGCGAAGAGCAAAGGCAAAUGUUGUGGUUGCUUCUGUUGAGGACAAACUAGAGAUCUUGGCAUCACGUAAUGUUAAACUGAAGGCAGACACACUCCUUGAUGAAGCAGUUAAACUUUCAUAUGACCUGAUUGUGUUGCCUGUAAGGGAACCUGUUACUUUCUUUGUAAUAAUUAAUCGGUUUAUAAUAUUUAGUUUGUGUAAAUUAUAAUCCAAUUGUCUACAGGGUGGAAUUGGUGGUGCCCAAGCUUUUGCAAACUCGGAAACCUUGGUGAAUUUGUUGAAAAAGCAAAGAGAAUCAAACAGAUAUUAUGGAGCAAUUUGUGCAUCCCCGGCUUUAGUUUUGGAGCCCCAUGGCUUACUAAAGGUAUCUAUGUGUUUUAUGAGUCAAUCUAUCAUCAGUAUAAACAAAACUUUCAAUAAAAUGACAAUUAUAUAUAUAUGUGUGUGCAUUUCUUUGAAUAAUGUGUUAAAACCCAUGUGCUUUUGUUUUUCUUUAUCAACUUGCCUACAUGGUCUGCAAUUCAACAGAAUUCAGAAAAGCAUGCAUAACAAACUGUGCAGCAGUGUUCAAGUUCAUUUGUACUGUAGACAGUUCCUUUCCUUAUGUAGCUAAAUCUUCUUAGAAUUCAUUCUAAUGCUCUUUGCACUUCUUUGGACUAUUUUAUGUUGCUAUCAAGUGCUUCAUUGUUCAUAACUUCAUUUUGCAUUGUGAUGUUAAUUUUAGAGACGGUCAUAUUUUCUCUGAUACAGGGUAAAAAGGCCACUGCUUUUCCUGCCAUGUGCAACAAGUUAUCAGAUCAGAGUGA
This 1807-nucleotide long non-coding RNA is filed under the name Cicer arietinum (chickpea). Its description in RNAcentral is "long non-coding RNA (CARI_LNC000358)". The record is from RNAcentral. Lineage: Eukaryota; Viridiplantae; Streptophyta; Magnoliopsida; Fabales; Fabaceae.